RNAcentral lists this long non-coding RNA (1045 nucleotides) under Hordeum vulgare. RNAcentral's name for it is "long non-coding RNA (HVUL_LNC020513)". The record is from RNAcentral. Lineage: Eukaryota; Viridiplantae; Streptophyta; Magnoliopsida; Poales; Poaceae.
GCGGCUCCGGCGAGACCCUCGAUGUCGUCGUCAUCCUGCCCGGGACCCCCGGUGAGAGCCUCUCUGAUCUCCCAUGUCUUACUGAAUUUGGUAUGCACAAUGUCUGAACUAUGAACUCUGAAGCUAGUAGAAAGAAACUACUGCUUCCACAUUUCUUUUCCUGAUCCAGAUAAUUCAGUGCGUCCGUUUGGCAACAUUCUGUGGCUGGUGGAAAUUGUAGAACCUAAAAACUCAAACCAAAUUCAGUCAUCGCAUUUCAUCUUUGCAGAUAAUAUACUAAGUUUUUUCUAGCCAAUGAGCAAAAUUCAGGCUGUACUGUAUCCUACAAUGGACAGUGCAUAAAAGCUUAGUUCAUUGCAUAUUUAUAUUGUUUUGGGUUUUGCCUUCUUGAUGCUAUAGUUAUACUGUCAUUGAUCAUUGGUCUGCCACUUAACUUCCGCAUUAUUUCUGCUGAUUCAGCCUAUGAUGCGCUGCGGCACCCGGAUGUCGACGCACACUAGAGAAAGAUCAGAGCUGGAGUUGUGACAAAAGUUCCGCAGCCUCGGAUACGAUGAAAGCAGAACUGGACGCCUACUUUUGCCUAUAGAUAGAUAGAAUAAGGAGCUGUUCGGCAAGCCUCCAACUCCGUCAAAUCUAAGAAUCUGUGGAGUAGCUCUUUCCUUACUCUGCAUUUUUUAACUACUGCUCCUCCAACUCCGGGAGCGGAGAUGCGGAGCGGAGGGCAUCCGAACAGGCCUUAAAUAUAGAUUGAGAAACCUCAGCAGCUCUUGCGUUUCUUCUACUACUAGCUAAACUUGGUCUGUUUUGGCCUCGCUGUUCUAUGAUUAAGAGCUGCCGAAGGCAUUGUUUCGUCCCACGGCUGAACAAUGUUUGUUGUGAUGCUGGUUGCAGUAGUUGCUGCAUUGUCGCGUGACUGAAAAUUCUGUGAUUUUUGCAAUGAGUUGAUGGUCCUGCAUCCCUUUUAGAAUAGGCAUUCUGAAAAAUGUACCGGGUUCUUCCAGUGAGCAGUAAUGGGAUUUCUAACGCAUGAAAAAAGAUAUUCAGA